This 71-nucleotide transfer RNA is filed under the name Marmota monax (woodchuck). RNAcentral's name for it is "tRNA.Ala". It matches the Rfam family "tRNA". Rfam says of the family: Transfer RNA (tRNA) molecules are approximately 80 nucleotides in length. The record is from RNAcentral. Lineage: Eukaryota; Metazoa; Chordata; Mammalia; Rodentia; Sciuridae.
GGGGUUGUGGCUUGGUGGUAGAGUGCUUGCCUUGCAUGCAUGAGGCACUGGGUUCAAUUUCCAGCACCACA